Molecule: ribosomal RNA, 382 nt
Filed under: uncultured bacterium
Lineage: Bacteria
Description: bacterial SSU rRNA
Rfam family: Bacterial small subunit ribosomal RNA
Source: RNAcentral
AUUGAACGCUGGCGGCGUGCUUAACACAUGCAAGUCGAGCGGUAAGGCCCUUUCGGGGGUACACGAGCGGCGAACGGGUGAGUAACACGUGGGUGACCUGCCCUCAGCUCUGGGAUAAGCCUGGGAAACCGGGUCUAAUACCGGAUAUGACUCCAUGACGCAUGUUGUGGGGUGGAAAGCCUUGUGCGGCUGAGGAUGGGCCCGCGGCCUAUCAGCUUGUUGGUGGGGUGAGGCCUACCAAGGCGACGACGGGUAGCCGGCCUGAGAGGGCGACCGGCCACACUGGGACUGAGACACGGCCCAGACUCCUACGGGAGGCAGCAGUGGGGAAUCUUGCGCAAUGGGCGAAAGCCUGACGCAGCGACGCCGCGUGAGGGAUGAC